Molecule: ribosomal RNA, 402 nt
Filed under: bacterium
Lineage: Bacteria
Description: partial 16S ribosomal RNA
Rfam family: Bacterial small subunit ribosomal RNA
Source: RNAcentral
UGGGGAUUUUUGCACAAUGGGGGAAACCCUGCUGCAGCGCCGCCGCGUGAUUUAGAAGGCCUUCGGGUUGUAAAAAUCUUUUCUAUGGGAAGAAAAUGACAGUACCAUAGGAAUAAGGACCGGCUAAUUACGUGCCAGCAGCCGCGGUAAUACGUAAGGUCCGAGCGUUGUCCGGAAUCAUUGGGCGUAAAGGGUACGUAGGCGGGUAAGCAAGUUAGAAGUGAAAUCCUAUAGCUCAACUCUAGUAAGCUUUUAAAACUGCUCAUCUUGAGGUAUGGAAGAGAGAAUGGAAUUCCUUGUGGAGCGGUGGAAUGCGCAGAUAUUAGGAGGAAUACCGGUGGCGGAGGCGGCUUUCUGGCCAUAACCUGACGCUGGGGUACGAAAGCGUGGGUAGCAAACAAG